UACGUAGGGUGCGAGCGUUGUCCGGAAUUAUUGGGCGUAAAGGGCUCGUAGGCGGUCUGGUGCGUCAGGAGUGAAAACUCGGGGCUUAACCCCGAGCCUGCUUCUGAUACGGGCAGACUAGAGGUAUGCAGGGGAGAACGGAAUUCCUGGUGUAGCGGUGAAAUGCGCAGAUAUCAGGAGGAACACCGGUGGCGAAGGCGGUUCCCUGGGCAUUACCUGACGCUGAGGAGCGAAAGUGUGGGGAGCGAACAGG
RNAcentral lists this ribosomal RNA (253 nucleotides) under uncultured bacterium. RNAcentral's name for it is "partial 16S ribosomal RNA". It matches the Rfam family "Bacterial small subunit ribosomal RNA", at positions 524 to 776 of the family's 1533-position model. The record is from RNAcentral.